UCAUUAACGAGUUAGGGUCUCUCUGGCCCGACCUCCCAACCCUUUGUCUACUUGACCAUCGUUGCUUCGGCGAGCCCGUCCUCACGGACCGCCGGAGGGAUCUUUACUGGCCCUCUGGUCCGCGCUCGUCGGUAGCCCAACCUUUAAAAUCUUUAACUAAACGUGCCUUAAUCUAAGUACAAUUAUUAAAUAAAAGCAAAACUUUCAACAACGGAUCUCUUGGUUCUGGCAUCGAUGAAGAACGCAGCGAAAUGCGAUAAGUAAUGCGAAUUGCAGAAUUCCAGUGAGUCAUCGAAUCUUUGAACGCACAUUGCGCCCUUUGGUAUUCCGAAGGGCAUGCCUGUUCGAGCGUCAUUAUCACCCCUCAAGCCCUCGGCUUGGUGUUGGACGGUUUGGUGGAGGCCCCCUCGGGGGUUCCUGCCCCUCCCAAAGACAAUGACGGCGGCCUCGUUGGACCCCCGGUACACUGAGUUCUUCACGGGACACGUAUCGGACACAUGGGUUUACGGGACACGGUCUGCCUCCCCUCAGGGAGAAUCUUUCUAAGGUUGACCUCGGAUCAGGUAGGGAUACCCGCUGAACUUAAGCAUAUCAAUAAGCGGAGGAAAAGAAACCAACAGG
RNAcentral lists this ribosomal RNA (621 nucleotides) under fungal sp. RNAcentral's name for it is "eukaryotic LSU rRNA". The stretch from base 200 to 354 matches the Rfam family "5.8S ribosomal RNA". The record is from RNAcentral. Lineage: Eukaryota; Fungi.